UACGUAGGGUGCAAGCGUUAAUCGGAAUUACUGGGCGUAAAGCGUGCGCAGGCGGUUUUGUAAGUCUGUCGUGAAAUCCCCGGGCUUAACCUGGGAAUGGCGAUGGUGACUGCAAGGCUAGAGUUUGGCAGAGGGGGGUAGAAUUCCACGUGUAGCAGUGAAAUGCGUAGAUAUGUGGAGGAACACCGAUGGCGAAGGCAGCCCCCUGGGUCAAAACUGACGCUCAUGCACGAAAGCGUGGGGAGCAAACAGG
This 253-nucleotide ribosomal RNA is filed under the name uncultured bacterium. Its description in RNAcentral is "partial 16S ribosomal RNA". It matches the Rfam family "Bacterial small subunit ribosomal RNA", at positions 524 to 776 of the family's 1533-position model. The record is from RNAcentral.